This 1439-nucleotide ribosomal RNA is filed under the name uncultured bacterium. Its description in RNAcentral is "bacterial SSU rRNA". It matches the Rfam family "Bacterial small subunit ribosomal RNA". The record is from RNAcentral.
AGGGUUUGAUCAUGGCUCAGAACGUACGCUGGCGGCACGCCUAAUACAUGCAAGUCGAACGAAGUAGCAAUACUUAGUGGCAGACGGGUGAGUAACAUGUAGGUAUCUUCCCAUUGGUGAGGAAUAACACGAGGAAACUUGUGCUAAUACCUCAUAAGUCUUUACGGAGAAAGCUUUAUGCGCCGAUGGAUGAGCCUGCACUUGAUUAGUUUGUUGGUAGGGUAAUGGCCUACCAAGACAAUGAUCAAUAGCUGAUUUGAGAGGAUGAUCAGCCACAUUGGGACUGAGACACGGCCCAAACUCCUACGGGAGGCAGCAGUAGGGAAUCUUGCACAAUGGGGGAAACCCUGAUGCAGCGAUGCCGCGUGAGUGAAGAAGGCCUUUGGGUUGUAAAGCUCUUUCGUCGGGGAAGAAAAUGACUGUACCCGAAUAAGAAGGUCCGGCUAACUUCGUGCCAGCAGCCGCGGUAAUACGAAGGGACCUAGCGUAGUUCGGAAUUACUGGGCUUAAAGAGUUCGUAGGUGGUUGAAAAAGUUGGUGGUGAAAUCCCAGAGCUUAACUCUGGAACUGCCAUCAAAACUUUUUAGCUAGAGUAUGAUAGAGGAAAGCAGAAUUUCUAGUGUAGAGGUGAAAUUCGUAGAUAUUAGAAAGAAUACCAAUUGCGAAGGCAGCUUUCUGGAUCAUUACUGACACUGAGGAACGAAAGCAUGGGUAGCGAAGAGGAUUAGAUACCCUCGUAGUCCAUGCCGUAAACGAUGUGUGUUAGACGUUGGAAAUUUAUUUUCAGUGUCGCAGCGAAAGCGAUAAACACACCGCCUGGGGAGUACGACCGCAAGGUUAAAACUCAAAUGAAUUGACGGGGACCCGCACAAGUAGUGGAGCAUGUGGUUUAAUUCGAAGAUACGCGCAGAACCUUACCAACACUUGACAUGUUCGUCGCGACUCUAAGAGAUUAGAGUUUUCGGUUCGGCCGGACGAAACACAGGUGCUGCAUGGCUGUCGUCAGCUCGUGUCGUGAGAUGUUGGGUUAAGUCCCGCAACGAGCGCAACCCUCACUUUUAGUUGCCAUCAUUAAGUUGGGCACUCUGAAAGAACUGCCAGUGAUAAGCUGGAGGAAGGUGGGGAUGACGUCAAGUCCUCAUGGCCCUUACGUGUUGGGCUACACACGUGCUACAAUGGUAUCUACAACAGGAAGCAAGACGGCGACGUUAAGCAAAUCCUUAAAAGAUACCUCAGUUCGGAUUGCACUCUGCAACUCGAGUGCAUGAAGCUGGAAUUACUAGUAAUCGUGGAUCAGCGUGCCACGGUGAAUGCGUUCCCGGGUCUUGUACACACCGCCCGUCACACCAUGGGAGUUGGUUCUACCUUAAGGCAAGGUUUCAAACCCUUGACCACGGUAUAGUCAGCGACUGGGGUGAAGUCGUAACAAGGUAGCCGUA